RNAcentral lists this ribosomal RNA (497 nucleotides) under uncultured bacterium. Its description in RNAcentral is "partial 16S ribosomal RNA". It matches the Rfam family "Bacterial small subunit ribosomal RNA", at positions 28 to 507 of the family's 1533-position model. The record is from RNAcentral.
GAUGAACGCUGGCGGCGUGCCUAAUACAUGCAAGUCGAGCGAACAGACGAGGAGCUUGCUCCUCUGACGUUAGCGGCGGACGGGUGAGUAACACGUGGAUAACCUACCUAUAAGACUGGGAUAACUUCGGGAAACCGGAGCUAAUACCGGAUAAUAUAUUGAACCGCAUGGUUCAAUAGUGAAGGACGGUUUUGCUGUCACUUAUAGAUGGAUCCGCGCCGCAUUAGCUAGUUGGUAAGGUAACGGCUUACCAAGGCGACGAUGCGUAGCCGACCUGAGAGGGUGAUCGGCCACACUGGAACUGAGACACGGUCCAGACUCCUACGGGAGGCAGCAGUAGGGAAUCUUCCGCAAUGGGCGAAAGCCUGACGGAGCAACGCCGCGUGAGUGAUGAAGGUCUUCGGAUCGUAAAACUCUGUCAUUAGGGAAGAACAAAUGUGUAAGUAACUAUGCACGUCUUGACGGUACCUAAUCAGAAAGCCACGGCUAACUACGUG